Rosa rugosa (rugosa rose) is the source of this 2190-nucleotide long non-coding RNA. RefSeq lists it as uncharacterized. The record is from RefSeq and is a predicted model, not a curated record. Lineage: Eukaryota; Viridiplantae; Streptophyta; Magnoliopsida; Rosales; Rosaceae. The transcript has 3 exons.
UCCUAAAUUAAUACAGGAUGAUAUACAACAACUAACCAUUCCUAGUAAGGAAAGGGAUCAGUGUCAGCCCUCAAAUUAUAAUCAUAAUUAUAAUUAUACAUUUACUAUAUACUAUACUAAAGUUACGUUGGUGGUCUUUGGAUGGAAAUUGGGGGUUUCGGAUCCAUUGGUGACAUUGGGUUUUGGGGGUUUGGAUUGUGGAAAUUGGGAAUAAGGGUUUGGUUUUUUGCUUCAUUGUUCAUGAUUUGGGUGAUACGGGGUGUUUGUUAUUCGAUGGUGAUUCUGCCGUUUUACAAUUCUAGAAGUGUGUGAAGAAGGGCAAGGCGAUAGAGGUCGUUGGGAUCAAGAGAAGGAGAGGUUGGUGUGGGUUGCUGUUUCUGUGGAUUUUGAAAGGUUUAACAUCGACGGAAGAGAAAUAAUUGUGACGGAGGAAGAAGCAGCUCUAAGCGACUCAGCGUAGGAGAAGAAGACUGGAAGUGGGCUUUGAACUGUCUUCGUUCAUCUAAUAUUCAAGUCCGCGCGAUGGAUGGGUAUAAAUGAAGCAUGCAGUUUAGGUCCAGAUUUAGUAUCUUGGCGAUAGUACUUACAAAAGUAGUCCAGGCCUCCUCUGCGUUUUCUUCAUAUUAGAUAAAGUUUAGAUGUCCUGAAUUGUCAAUUUCAAUUAAGUUCGCCUUUUGAGCAUGAAAACAUCCUAUUUGUUUCUGGGGAAUUCAUAUGUUUCCAAGGACUGAUUGGAAUGAUAUUGUCGUUGAGAUUAUUGAUCAGCUGGGAGUAUUUUAAAUCAAACCUUGCAUCAUUACUGCCUGCACAGAGUGCAACAAAUUAAUAUUAGUCCAAGGAACUGUAAUAGAAUGUGGGGAUGUCGGUGGAAGUUAGAAUUUAAGGAAAAAUCACAUAUUAGCUGGCUUCAAGGAUUGUAUUGUGAGUCUGUGACUGUAAAGUGCCAUUUAGGAGUUAGGACUUGGGACCAGCAAGGGGUUAGUCGGAAUGAUUAGGUUCAUGGUUUUAUUGUUCCAUGUUGUCUAGGUUUGAAAGUGGCUCUAUAUAAAGACACUAUCAUUGGGUAUUUGAAAACAGAGAAAUAAGUCAUUUAGGUGAGGUUUGAAAGUGGCCUUACAUUAUGUCUGAGAGUCAUACCAGGGCUAUAAGAGAGGUUCAUACUUUUCAGUUAUUUGUAAAUGAUGCACAUUGUCUAUGGGAGUCUGAAUGUCUGGAAAAAGAACUCCACUUAUUCUAAUUUUUGGUUCUGCCAUAUAUUGCACAAAUAUUCUUUUGGGUCAUCAAAUCCAAGUCCUGCCAAGGCUGCCAUACAUGGGCAUCCAGUGAUAAAAGUUGAUUCCCUAAUUUCUCUUUACUAAAUGAUCAAGUUAAGCGUUUUUGGUAUAGAAUAUGAUCUGUGGUGUGUAUAAGGAACUUGCUAGCUGAUGGACUUUUGAGUUUAUAUACCUGAUAUUUAAUACUUGCUGCCAUAUGUGAUAUGUCUAGAAUAGAUGAUGUAGGAAUCACUCACCAAGGGUUUGAGAAAAAGGUGGUUUCCCAGGACCUGCAGCUUUGGCUUUCUAAUGUGAUGCUAAUUUUAUGUUCUUUGGGGACUUUGAAGAAACGAACAGACCCAUAUGAAGGUUUACAGAAAGCAUUGGUUACAUCCUGAAGCACUGCCCUCCUCUUAUGCUGGACGCAUGCAUUUCCAGCCUCAUUCUUGUUGUUCUCGUCCACAGAAGCUCUCUUUGGAUUUGCUCGCAAAGCUGGCUUCUGACUCUGCUUUGUGGGUUGUGUGCCUGACUGGAUGUAUCUAAUGAAGCAGCUCAAGCACAUGUUAUACAGCCAGGAAACUCUUUAACACUUGCAGUGGCCAAUGUUUGCUUGACCAAUGAUGCCGUGGUUUGAAUGCUUGCUUUCAUAUCAUAGGCACUCCUAUAUAGCAAUCCACUCCUAUAUACCUUAUGAACUAAUAUCAGUUCCAGUAUUCUGCAGGUUGAGAGAUUAGAAGUUGGAGCAUUAGUCUCUAUACGAGGAAUUGGUCGUAUAAAGAUCAUCAAAUUUGUGCAAGUGAGUAACAAGGGAACUGGCCUGGGAUAUAUGAUAUUCUGUCAUAAAGUUACUCAUACGUAUAAUUAUUCUGUAUAUACACAGACAAAGAACUUCCCAUUUUGGUGGUUCCACAUAUAUGAGCGAGUAUUUCAAUUUUCA